AGGAGAUGCCCCUGGUGUUCCAGAGGGAAUUGGCCAUGGCUUUGGGGAGAGUGGUGCAGAUGCAACCCAGGUCUGACAGAUGUGUCAUGGUGACACGGGGGGCAUCGUGGAACCAAAGGAACCCUGAGGCAUUCCAGAAUCCCACGUGUGUUGGGUCUGAGCUGGAGUUCAUUUUCUCACUGCAGCCGUCACAGUGCUGUGCUUUGCAUUGGGAGCUACAAAGGGGUUAAUCACACCAGUGCUUUGACAACUGCUGAGCAGGGCUGGCACAGCAUCGGCAUUGUCAGCUUCCUCCCUUGAAUGGGGGGCAAGAUCAUGGGAGGGGAUAGAGACAGGCCAGUUGAGCCAAAGGGACCAAAGGGAGAUUGCAGAAUAUAUGGCGUCAGCUCAGCUACAAAAGCUCACAAAAGGAACAGGAAAGGGGGAAAAUCCAUUUUUUUACAAUACUUGCCUUCUGAGCGGCCUCUCUGUGUGGUGAAGCCCUGCUUUGCCUGAAGUGGUCAGGCAUGGCUGCUGACGGGAAGUAGAGAAUAAACCUCUUUAUUUUCCUCUUC
Molecule: long non-coding RNA, 554 nt
Organism: Pseudopipra pipra
Lineage: Eukaryota; Metazoa; Chordata; Aves; Passeriformes; Pipridae
Exons: 2
Source: RefSeq, a predicted model, not a curated record